UCAAACCCAAACCUAAUUAGGCAUCUUAUUCAAUGUUUGAUGAAACUAAAAGAGAUAUUUACCCGAUAAACCAUAUAGCAAAAGUGAAAAGGCAGACAAAGAGUACAGGGGUAGCGCAUGUACAUAACAGGUGAAACUUCACAAUUAAGUAAAAACUCUAUACUAUGAGUCAGAAAAUUUCACAAGGCCAACUAGCACUGUAACAAGGAGUCAACAUUUUUCUAUCACUAAAGAAGAAGGCAAACAUAAAAUACUAGACAGAGCAUCUAUAGAACACACACAACUGAUUCCUUAUCUGGACAAAAAGAAGGAAAAAAACACACCCACACACAACUGAUCAUAAUAAAUAAAAUUCUGAAUCUGCUAGAAAACGGUAGAGUGCAGAGAAUGCUACAAAUGGAAACUGUUUGAGAAGCUUCAUUUUUCUUGGGACUGGGACUGUUUCGGAAGCUUCACUGAUAAGCAUCUUUAUCUGUUUCCUGUACAAGAUGCGACUCAAUCUCCACAAUUAGUCCGGACAUUGAGAAACAGCAAGCAAGGUAUCCCACAAAUAAUAGUAUAAUUCUUAGUUAUACCCUGCCUAUAUAUGGCUAAAGUGUCCAGCUCCAUGCUGGAACUAAGCCUAAACCUAAUCUUGCUGGCCUCAGUUUCAACACUACAGCAAAUUCAAAUACAAAUAGACUUGACCCUCAUUUAAGGUCAAUUCCUUCAUCAGAGCACGGAAGAAAAAUAAAGAGUUGAAAGAACUAAAUCGAGAAAAUAACACUUUUUUGCACACACAUCAAAGUAGUCGUUCCAAGUAAAAAAGGGCAUAACAAGAUAAAAAAACGAAUAACUUAGUUAAAAUACUCAAUAAAACAUAAAUAAGGAAAUAAAUAAAUUACAGUACAAGUAUUUACUUUAAUCAGUAUUAUAAGUAUUGGUUACAACUUACAAACGUCAAGCCACCUUCUCACACGAAAUUUAGCCCCAAAGGUCCACUAACCCAACUGCAUUCGAUCCCUAAUCCUUUCUAAGGUAAAUAAUUUUAUUAAUGAUAGGAAACCCCAAUAUACAAGAUGUAUACCAAAAAGUAUAAAACCUACAUCA
Molecule: long non-coding RNA, 1089 nt
Filed under: Nicotiana benthamiana
Lineage: Eukaryota; Viridiplantae; Streptophyta; Magnoliopsida; Solanales; Solanaceae
Description: long non-coding RNA (NBEN_LNC008538)
Source: RNAcentral